CUGGAGAGCUACUGUCCUGUAGGUUUCCACUCCAACCCUGUUCCUGGAGAGCUACUGUCCUGUAGGUUUCCACUCCAACCAUGUUCCUGGAGAGCUACUGUCCUGUAGGUUUCUACUCCAACCCUGUUCCUGGAGAGUUACUGUCCUUUAGGUUUCCACUCCAACCCUGUUCCUGGAGAGCUACGGUCCUGUAGGUUUCCACUCCAACCCUGUUCCUGGAGAGCUACUGUCCUGUAGGUUUCCACUCCAACCCUGUUCCUGGAGAGCUACUGUCCUGUAGGUUUCUACUCCAACCCUGUUCCUGGAGAGCUACUGUCCUGUAGGUUUCCACUCCAACCCUGUAGGUUUCCACUCCAACCCUGUUCCUGGAGAGCUACUGUCCUGUAGGUUUCCACUCCAACCCUGUUCCUGGAGAGCUACUGUCCUGUAAGUUUCCACUCCAACCCUGUUGCUGGAGAGCUACUGUCCUGUAGGUUUCCACUCCAACCCUGUUCCUGGAGAGCUACUGUCCUGUAGGUUUCUACUCCAACCCUGUUCCUGGAGAGCUACUGUCCUGUAGGUUUCUACUCCAAACCUGUUCCUGGAGAGCUACUGUCCUGUAGGUUUCCACUCAAACCCUGUUCCUGGAGAGCUACUGUCCUGUAGGUUUCCACUCCAACCCUGUUCCUGGAGAGCUACUGUCCUGUAGGUUUCCACUCCAACCCUGUUCCUGGAGAGCUACGGUCCUGUAGGUUUCCACUCCAACCCUGUAG
RNAcentral lists this long non-coding RNA (752 nucleotides) under Salmo salar (Atlantic salmon). RNAcentral's name for it is "lncRNA (ENSSSAG00000115121.1)". The record is from RNAcentral. Lineage: Eukaryota; Metazoa; Chordata; Actinopteri; Salmoniformes; Salmonidae.